GAUGAACGCUGGCGGCGUGCCUAAUACAUGCAAGUCGAGCGAACAGACGCGGAGCUUGCUCCUUUGUCGUUUGCCGCGGACGUGUGAGUAACACGUGGAUAACCUACUUAUAUGACUGGUAUCACUUCGGGAAUCCGGCUCUAAUACCGGAUAAUAUAUUGAACCGUAUGGUUCAAUAGUGAAUGUCGGUUUUGCUGUCACUUCUCGAUGCAUCUGCGCCGGAUUAGCUAGUUGGUAAGUUAACGGCCUACCACGGCAACGAUGCGUAGCCGACCUGCGAGAGGGGUAGGACGCACGGGAACGGAAACACGGUCAAGGCGCCUGAGAGAGGCAGCAGUAGGGAAUCUGCCGCAAUGGGCGAGAACCUGGCGGAACAACGCCACGUGAGUGGUGAAGAUCUUGGGAUCGUAAAAAUGUGUUAUGAGGGAAGAACAAAUGUGGAAGUAACUAUGCACGUCUUGACGGUAACGGAUAAGAAAGCCACGGCUAACUACGUG
RNAcentral lists this ribosomal RNA (497 nucleotides) under uncultured bacterium. RNAcentral describes it as "partial 16S ribosomal RNA". It matches the Rfam family "Bacterial small subunit ribosomal RNA", at positions 28 to 507 of the family's 1533-position model. The record is from RNAcentral.